UACGGAGGGUGCAAGCGUUAUCCGGAUUCACUGGGUUUAAAGGGUGCGUAGGUGGGCAGGUAAGUCAGUGGUGAAAUCUCCGGGCUUAACUCGGAAACUGCCAUUGAUACUAUCUGUCUUGAAUACCGUGGAGGUUAGCGGAAUAUGUCAUGUAGCGGUGAAAUGCGUAGAUAUCCGGAAGAACACCGAUGGCGAAGGCAACCACCUGGGCCUGUACUGACGCUGAGGUACGAAAGCGUGGGGAGCAAACAGG
RNAcentral lists this ribosomal RNA (253 nucleotides) under uncultured bacterium. RNAcentral's name for it is "partial 16S ribosomal RNA". It matches the Rfam family "Bacterial small subunit ribosomal RNA", at positions 524 to 776 of the family's 1533-position model. The record is from RNAcentral.